GAUAAGAGGGCUUACCAUUAGUGGACCCUCAGAGAGGAUGAGAGAAGAGGUGUGCAAGCAUGUCACGCCACGCUGCGGUCAUCAUCAGGGAUUUACUUACAAAUCAUGACAGAUAUUUCUAAUAAGAUAUUGUCACCAACAAUAUUUAAAGCCAAAGGUGCUUCCUCAAAGUAUUGGUGAUUGUGCGAUUGUGCGUGUGUGUGUGUGCUUGUGUGAUUUACCAGGAAAGAAUUCCUGCUGAGCCCGACCAGACGGACCUGGAAGGAUUCAGGAAUGCCACUCCAAGCUCACUGUUCACCCACAGAGUGGCCUGUUCCCAAAACAACAUGGAGGGCAAUUUUUUUUUGAAAAUUCCUUAAAAGGAAGCUGGCAUGAACAAUGGUGGAACGCUUCAGAGUAAACAGUGUUCUCUGCGCAGCUGCUCCUGCAGAUCUGUCGGCCCAGUAUUCACAUCAGACACCUCUCUCCGAUGGAAUGCCUCAAUCCACGGCCCCACUCCUCCUGUGUAUCACAGAGCACGUGUCGGGGUCAACUCCGGCUCUUCCAGGUCAACAAUAGCCCGACAUUUGUGAGAAAGAAACGGCUUGCUUUUGCUCUGCGUUCGGUAGACGUUACAGGAUAAAAGGAACGUAAAGCUUAUAGAUGACAUAGUUUCGAAUUAUGCCUAUAUGGCCAAAAUGGAUUCCUGGUAAUGCAUUUCGCAGCUGCCAGGCUACCAAUUAUAUGUAACUCAACUGCAAUCUCACCAAUAAGAGGGCUAGGACUAGCCAUUCCAAGUAAAGACCAAGCAGCUGAUCAAGUGCCUAUCUAAGCUAUGCUCUGUAACAUGCGUCCAAUUAAAAGUUUUCAUAUUUUUUGAGAAUUCUUUGGAGAGUGUGUAAUGGUAGAAUUUGUUUGGAGGACAUUGAAAAGUGGAAUAAAGUGAAAUGUCCCGCAGGGCCAGUUUGUUCACUUUUAAAAAAUGCCUUCCAUUCAGAAUUCCAUCCAAAUGACAUCUUGUUUUUAUGGUUACACCUUUUUUACCGGUGGAAUUCCCAAAUUUUUAAUGAGCAGUCUGUCUAACAAGACUUUAAUGAAGCCGCCACUCCACCCACUCACCCCACACACUUCCCAUUUCGAAAGAUCCUCCCAAAACACACAUUCAGUAUGAGACACAUACAGACUGCACACUCAGAGGUCCCCCACCCUAUCCAUUUUCAGCGUUCCACAUCAGCUGGGCCAAGCUUUUAAUCUGCCCGGUGACAUCCCUGUGUUUCCGCUAUGGGCAGAAGGAGAGAUAAGCACACCACUCUCCGUGGUAAAUCACUCCACACACGCCGACUCAUUCACUGGUUUGGCUAAUAUUCAAUUAGCCUGCUCUCAUUGUGGCUCCAAUACACUAGCAGUCUUCAACAGUCAGACGACAAAAAUGGUUUCUAGAGCUUUUAGCCAAUUGCUUGUUAUUGCAAUACAAGCUACGUGUUGAAUCCUGCAUCAAGUAAUACGUGACCACUUACAUAGCCUUCGUGGGAAACAAUACGUCUUGUCAUGAAGCCCGCGGUGAAAUUAAUUGUGAACAAAAUGACAGAAGUCCUCAUUAUAGGACUGACUCAUUGCUAGUCUUUCAUUGAAUCCCACAGAGCUCUUCAGAGAACACUCCCAACACAAAACAAGCUUGAGGAGAAAGGACUUGCAGACAGUCAUCUGAUCAUCUAAACAUGUUUCGGUAGCAUCCCACUGCAAUGAUUUACAUUUCACAGUCUUUUCCGUUGAC
Molecule: long non-coding RNA, 1753 nt
Organism: Esox lucius (northern pike)
Lineage: Eukaryota; Metazoa; Chordata; Actinopteri; Esociformes; Esocidae
Exons: 3
Source: RefSeq, a predicted model, not a curated record